Molecule: ribosomal RNA, 658 nt
Filed under: uncultured bacterium
Lineage: Bacteria
Description: bacterial SSU rRNA
Rfam family: Bacterial small subunit ribosomal RNA
Source: RNAcentral
CAAGUCGAACGAGACCUUCGGGUCUAGUGGCGGACGGGUGAGUAACGCGUGGGAACAUACCCUUUGGUACGGAAUAGCCUCGGGAAACUGGGAGUAAUACCGUAUGUGUCCUUUAGCUGUAGUGGUUAGAGGAGAAAGAUUUAUCGCCAAAGGAUUGGCCCGCGUUGGAUUAGGUAGUUGGUGGGGUAAUGGCCUACCAAGCCGACGAUCCAUAGCUGGUUUGAGAGGAUGAUCAGCCACACUGGGACUGAGACACGGCCCAGACUCCUACGGGAGGCAGCAGUGGGGAAUCUUAGACAAUGGGCGCAAGCCUGAUCUAGCCAUGCCGCGUGAUCGAUGAAGGCCUUAGGGUUGUAAAGAUCUUUCAGAUGGGAAGAUAAUGACGGUACCAUCAGAAGAAGCCCCGGCUAACUCCGUGCCAGCAGCCGCGGUAAUACGGAGGGGGCUAGCGUUAUUCGGAAUUACUGGGCGCAAAGCGCACGUAGGCGGAUUGACAAGUCAGAGGUGAAAUCCCAGGGCUCAACCUUGGAACUGCCUUUGAAACUGUCAGUCUUGAGUUCGAGAGAGGUAAGUGGAAUCCCGAGUGUAGAGGUGAAAUUCGUAGAUAUUCGGAGGAACACCAGUGGCGAAGGCGGCUUACUGGCUCGAUACUGACGCU